RNAcentral lists this unclassified non-coding RNA (343 nucleotides) under soil metagenome. Its description in RNAcentral is "partial contains 5.8S ribosomal RNA, internal transcribed spacer 2, and large subunit ribosomal RNA". The stretch from base 2 to 120 matches the Rfam family "5.8S ribosomal RNA", at positions 36 to 154 of the family's 154-position model. The record is from RNAcentral.
UAUGAAGAACGCAGCGAAAUGCGAUAAGUAGUGUGAAUUGCAGAAUUCAGUGAAUCAUCGAAUCUUUGAACGCACAUUGCGCCCUUUGGUAUUCCAAAGGGCAUGCCUGUUCGAGCGUCAUUUGUACCCUCAAGCUUUGCUUGGUGUUGAGCGUCUUGUCUCUAGCUUUGCUGGAGACUCGCCUUAAAGUAAUUGGCAGCCGGCCUACUGGUUUCGGAGCGCAGCACAAGUCGCACUCUCUAUCAGCAAAGGUCUAGCAUCCAUUAAGCCUUUUUUUUUCAACUUUUGACCUCGGAUCAGGUAGGGAUACCCGCUGAACUUAAGCAUAUCAAUAAGCGGAGGA